AAAAAAUCAAACCCUGAAUUUCCGUGACAACGUUUGACUAUCCGUCUUAUAUGAAAUUUUUUUAUAAUUAAUAUUUUCAUUGUUGUUAGAUGAUAAAACAUGAUUAAUACUUUAUGCGUGACUUAUCUUUUUAAUGUUUUAAUAUUUUUUAAAAUAAGACGAACGGUCAAACGUUAGACUUGCC
Molecule: microRNA precursor, 184 nt
Organism: Oryza sativa Japonica Group (Japanese rice)
Lineage: Eukaryota; Viridiplantae; Streptophyta; Magnoliopsida; Poales; Poaceae
Rfam family: MIR812 microRNA precursor family
Source: Rfam